Non-coding RNA from Pelobates cultripes (western spadefoot toad), 256 nucleotides. Lineage: Eukaryota; Metazoa; Chordata; Amphibia; Anura; Pelobatidae. The record is from the annotation of a GenBank genome assembly.
CACCAGCAUGUUGUGCUACUGAUAGCAGACACCAACUAUGCAUAGAACUAAUUCAAAAUAAAGAAAAAUGGUCCAGCAAUAAAGUUGUGUUGUUUUAUUAUUGCGUAGUACAAGGCCAAAAUUGUGCGGUUAUAAUGUGAAACUAGAGAUCCAACCAAAACAAUUUGACCCCUGAAAUUCAAGCAUGUGCUAUAAUAAUGAAAAUAUAUUGUUUGUUAAAUUCACAAAUCAACAGUAAUUUUCCCAUGAGUUUCCC